CUGCUGCUCAAAGUAAAGACCGUUUGAGAAGGCGGGGAGAUCGAAGAAGCUGCUUUAUCUUACAGUCACCCAAGGGGGAACGCCUUCUUCCUUCCCAGAGUGGAGUGGCAGUGGGUCCAGGAUUCUGGGAUAUGCACAGGGUCUGCGCCCUGCGCCCUGUCCGCGCUGAAGCUGGACUUGUCAUUGGUUUGCAACAGCAUGGUGAAGAAGUGUGGUGUGGAUGGAUGGACGGGCCUCUCAGGCACAGGAAAUACUCAAAAGCCCAGUAUUAACCAAACAUGUUUCUCUGUUUUGUCUUUGA
RNAcentral lists this long non-coding RNA (301 nucleotides) under Pongo abelii (Sumatran orangutan). RNAcentral's name for it is "lincRNA". Lineage: Eukaryota; Metazoa; Chordata; Mammalia; Primates; Hominidae. The record is from RNAcentral.